Molecule: ribosomal RNA, 253 nt
Filed under: uncultured bacterium
Lineage: Bacteria
Description: partial 16S ribosomal RNA
Rfam family: Bacterial small subunit ribosomal RNA
Source: RNAcentral
UACGUAGGGGGCAAGCGUUGUCCGGAUUUCUUGGGCGUAAAGAGCGUGUAGGCGGCCUGGUAGGUCUGCUGUGAAAACUCGAGGCUCAACCUCGAGAUGUCGGCGGAAACCAUCUGGCUAGAGUCCGGAAGAGGAGAGUGGAAUUCCUGGUGUAGCGGUGAAAUGCGCAGAUAUCAGGAAGAACACCUAUGGCGAAGGCAGCUCUCUGGGACGGUACUGACGCUGAGACGCGAAAGCGUGGGGAGCGAACAGG